UACGUAGGGGGCGAGCGUUGUCCGGAUUUAUUGGGCGUAAAGAGCGUGUAGGCGGCCAGGUAGGUCUGCUGUGUAAACUCGAGGCUCAACCUCGAGACGUCGGCGGAAACCAUCUGGCUAGAGUCCGGAAGAGGAGAGUGGAAUUCCUGGUGUAGCGGUGAAAUGCGCAGAUAUCAGGAAGAACACCCGUGGCGAAGGCGGCUCUCUGGGACGGUACUGACGCUGAGGAGCGAAAGCGUGGGGAGCGAACAGG
This 253-nucleotide ribosomal RNA is filed under the name uncultured bacterium. Its description in RNAcentral is "partial 16S ribosomal RNA". It matches the Rfam family "Bacterial small subunit ribosomal RNA", at positions 524 to 776 of the family's 1533-position model. The record is from RNAcentral.